GGCGGUGGGGAAUGCACACCCCUUCAUCCCAGAAGCCAGCGGCGGCAUCCCCGACUUUAUCUCGACCUCUUUUUUUCGCAGCUGCACUGCCCUGGCACACAUCACAAGUAAGCGUGACCUCCGCUGACGCCAGCUCGCUGUUCUUGCGCAGUAGGCGCGGACCCCCUUUCGCGCACAGACCAGCACACGCUCAUAGAGAAAGGCCUAGUAUCACAGGCCACAGGUGAUUGGGUAUGCCGAUCUCUGCCAAUUCCCUUGUUCGUUGGAGUCUUGCAGCGGUGGGCGUCUCGGGGGCAGCACUGGGCUGCACCUACGUGUACAAGACAUACUUUCAUCAGCAUCCAGCUCGGAAUGAGAAGAUAGUGCAGCUGGCUGCAAUCGCUCUCUCAGGAGAAGUCGUCGACAAGUCUCUCCACGACCCAGAAGUGCUAUCGCAGCUGCGCACGUUUGGGCUGCAGGUCCUCACGCAUCCCGUUGUGCUGGCCCACCUUAAGAAGUUUUUUAUCCACGAGCUCACAGAUGACACUCCAACCCGCGCUGCGCUGCGUACCUUUGUCGUGCGGGACGUCAUUCAAGAUGCAUGGGUGGAGGAGGAGCUCAUCGGCGUUGCGGAGGACCUCGUAGACUCUGUCAAGGACAACCCUGACUUGUUUCCAGAUCGCAUUCUUGCCCAGAUCGGCGCGAGUGCGCUGGAAGGGCUGCAGACGGAAGAGUUUUGGUGGGCCGUGCGUCGAAGCAGCAAAGCAGCUGGCUGGAUCGCUUUCAUUAGCCCCCCGCCCCACGACAUGACCUUCGAAGCACCAUUCUAACCGACCCGGAAAGAUAAGCUCGUGCUCACCCACGGUCAGGGUGCGCGUGUCCGCCUUUGGGCGUGUUCUUUGUUUGUCGUGGGCUGCAUCAUCCACCACUCUACUACCCACUCACUAUCGUUGCGCCCUACCAGCUCGUGACAACUUCGCCUACCCCACCACCACCACCACGAGCGCUAACUUCGCUCAUACGCGCGCGUACCUGAACGCAGUCACGCCUUCGUUUCGCGCAGCCUCUGUAUACACGACUUCAAUAAAAGACGGACCGAUGAGCGUUGCUACUUUACCGAAUGUCCGAUAGAAAGAGGAUGUCCCCGCGCGCGCCCGAGAG
This 1140-nucleotide unclassified non-coding RNA is filed under the name Leishmania donovani. RNAcentral describes it as "gene:LdHU3.30.3910(CDS-product:hypothetical_prote in_conserved)". The record is from RNAcentral. Lineage: Eukaryota; Euglenozoa; Kinetoplastea; Trypanosomatida; Trypanosomatidae.